AUGUUCGAGUUCUAUUCAAAUCCCAAUCGUUUUAUUUCAAAUAUCACUCACACGAAUGCAAUCAAUUACAUUCAUACAUUUUUCAAGUCCAAUACCAUUGAUCUUGUUAUAAACUCAAACAUUUUUCUUUACAUGAUAUCAAAAGAAUCAUGCAAAAAAAGAUUACAUGUUUUCAUCGCGUUUCAAAGCCAAAUUUUGUUACCACAUCUAUACAAAAAUCUGGUUGUUGACCUUUAA
Vicia faba (fava bean) is the source of this 237-nucleotide non-coding RNA. The record is from the annotation of a GenBank genome assembly. Lineage: Eukaryota; Viridiplantae; Streptophyta; Magnoliopsida; Fabales; Fabaceae.